This 253-nucleotide ribosomal RNA is filed under the name uncultured bacterium. RNAcentral's name for it is "partial 16S ribosomal RNA". It matches the Rfam family "Bacterial small subunit ribosomal RNA", at positions 524 to 776 of the family's 1533-position model. The record is from RNAcentral.
UACGUAGGGGGCAAGCGUUGUCCGGAGUUACUGGGCGUAAAGCGCACGCAGGCGGUCUCUUAAGUUUGGAGUGACAGUUGGUGGCUUAACUGCCAAAGUGCUUCGAAAACUGAGAGACUUGAGGGCUUCAGAGGGACACGGAAUUCCGGGUGGAGUGGUGAAAUGCAUAGAGAUCCGGAGGAACACCAAAGGCGAAGGCAGUGCCCUGGGGAGUACCUGACGCUCAGGUGCGAAAGCCAGGGGAGCGAACGGG